Long non-coding RNA from Xiphophorus couchianus (Monterrey platyfish), 528 nucleotides. RefSeq lists it as uncharacterized. The transcript has 2 exons. The record is from RefSeq and is a predicted model, not a curated record. Lineage: Eukaryota; Metazoa; Chordata; Actinopteri; Cyprinodontiformes; Poeciliidae.
GUUAAAGUCAGAAUUCUGACUUUAAUCUCAGAAUUCUGAGUUUGUGUUUAAGGUCAGAAUUCUGAGGUUAAAGUCAGAAUUCUGACUUUAAUGUCAGAAUUCUUUUUUUUUUCGGGGCCCUAAUCCUCUUCCGUACAUUUCCUUCCUAUUGACAGCUAUAUGCUAUGAAUGGAGAGUUGUGUGCAUCAAAAAAAUCUAAAUGUGUGUUAAAGUUUGUGCACGCUAAAAUGUUCAAGGUGUGUGAAUACUUGCAAGGCUUUGUAUAUUUAAUACCUCUUUUUUAAGGACUUUUAAUAGUUUGAUUAAGAUACAAAAGUAUGCCUUCUGCUUCUCACUCAUAGUUUCAUUUGAUUUUUGAAAUUAGUCUUUCUGAAUUUGCGUAAAUUCAAAGUUGGUACAUUAGCUUGUGUGGACCUUACACCGCCAUGAUGUGAUGCUGUUAAAGGUUUGCAUGAUCAAGUCCUGCCUCACAGGCGUACAGAUAAUUAUCUUAAUCAGGCAUAUGCAAUAAACUAUGAAACUCAUGGA